CCUACGGGAGGCAGCAGUGGGGAAUAUUGGGCAAUGGGCGCAAGCCUGAUCCAGCCAUGCCGCGUGUAUGAAGCAGGCCUUCGGGUUGUAACAUACUUUUGACAGGGAGGAGUAGAGGACGGUACCUGUCUAUUAUCAUAGGCCUAACUCCGUGCAAGCAGACGCGGUAAUACGUAGGUGGCAAGCGUUGUACGGAUUUACUGGGUGUAAAGGGCAGGAAGCCGGUUUGACAAGUCAGAUGUGAAAUCCUGCGGCUUAACCGCAGAACUGCAUUUGAAACUGGUAAGCUUGAGUACUGUAGAGGGAGACAGAAUUCCUGGUGUAGCGGUGAAAUGCGUAGAGAUCAGGAGGAACACCAGUGGCGAAGGCGGUCCGCUGGAC
Molecule: ribosomal RNA, 381 nt
Filed under: uncultured bacterium
Lineage: Bacteria
Description: partial 16S ribosomal RNA
Rfam family: Bacterial small subunit ribosomal RNA
Source: RNAcentral